UACGUAGGGGGCAAGCGUUGUCCGGAAUCAUUGGGCGUAAAGCGCGUGUAGGCGGCCCGGUAAGUCCGCUGUGAAAGUCGGGGGCUCAACCCUCGAAUGCCGGUGGAUACUGUCGGGCUAGAGUGCGGGAGAGGCGAGUGGAAUUCCCAGUGUAGAGGUGAAAUUCGUAGAUAUUGGGAAGAACACCGGUGGCGAAGGCGGCUCACUGGCUCAUUACUGACGCUCAUGCGCGACAGCGUGGGGAUCAAACAGG
Molecule: ribosomal RNA, 253 nt
Filed under: uncultured bacterium
Lineage: Bacteria
Description: partial 16S ribosomal RNA
Rfam family: Bacterial small subunit ribosomal RNA
Source: RNAcentral